GUGGCGCAGGAACUAGAACUGAAUAAAAUUCAUCUGAUCCCAAUGCAAAUGCCUCUUUAGCUGCUAGAGCUAGAAGUAUAAAUGCUCCGAAAAAUAGGCCAGAUAUUGGGUGGAAGCACGGGACAGAUGCUCAAGGCAAUGGGAAAAAAAAAUUAAAUGUAACUAUUGCUUAAAGAUUGUGAGUGGAGGCAUUUUUAGAUUCAAGCAUCAUCUUGUUAAGACUAGAGAGGAUUUUGAACCUUUGCUUUAGUGCCAGAAGAAGUUAAAAUUAUCAUGUUGAAAGUUACUGCAGAGGCUAAAGAGACAUUUAUGAAGAAAAGAAGACUGAAUAUUAUUGUAGAAGAUAUACAAACUGAGGGGGUGGAGACAAAUAGCACUCAAAGUGGAAUACAUGGGAUGCUUGCAUACAAAGGGAGUUCAAGCAAAUUUAAAUCAAUUGUACAAAAAAGGUGACAAAGGAAAAGUUUAUGAUCAAUGUGCUGAAUUUUGGUACACAAGUGUCAUUCCAUUUAAUGUUAUCAUAAAUCCAACUUUUGCAAAAUUUUGCGAGAUGGUUGGGAUUAUGGGGUUGGCUAUAAACCUUCAUCUUAUCAGGAUAUAAGAGAGACGCUUUUGAAAAGAGGAGUAGGGAAAACUGAUUUAAUGUUUCAAGAAUUUAGGGAUGAAGAGAAUUGGUUGUACAAUUAUGUCGGUUGGGUGGACAAAUAAAAAAAAGGCAUUAAAUUUAUAACUUUUUGGUGAACACUCCAAAAUAGACUAUAUUUCUUUAUUCAUUGGAUACCUCAAACAUCUCAAAAAUAAUUGAGAAAGUGUUGAAGAUGUCGGAUGAUGUAGUGGAAUUUGUUGGAGAAAAGAAUGUAGUCCAGGUGGUUACUAUAAUGCUACAAUUUUCUAAGCAAUUGGAGAGAAUCAUUGAUGUAUAGAAAUGAUAACAUUUGUAUUGGACCCCAUGCAUUACAUUGAUUUGAUAUUUGAAGAUUUUGAGAAACAUUUGAAGGUUCAUCAUGGUACUAUAAAGAAGGGAAAAAGGAUCACUACUUACAUUGGUAGAACAAUGUUGAUUAGCAUGAUGAAGAAGUUUACACAAGGAAGAGACUUGAUUAGGCCAAGUAUGAUUAGAUUUGCCACGACUUAUUUGACUUUAGCUUGUCUUCAUGAAUUAAAAGCAUCAUUGGUAAGCAUGUUUAGCUCUAAAGAGUAGAGAAUAAGCAAGUUUAGAACUUCACAAGAGGGGAAAAGAGUAGAGACAAGCUUUGGAUAGUUGAUUUUGGAAGAAAGUAACCAUAUGCCUCAAAGUUGCUACCCCUUUUAUGGUGGUCCUUCAAUUGGUGUUUCAUAUAUGAAGAGAUGGAUAGUGCAAAAGAGGAGAUAAAAUGCAACUUUAAUAACAUCAAGAAAAGGAUCAUCGGCUUCAUAGGCCUUUGCGUGCUACUUCAUAUUAUCUUAAUCCCCAUUUGCACUAUGAACCUAGUUUUAGACAUGAUGACCUUGAGGUGAAAGAGGGGUUGCUUAUAUGUAUGACAAGAUUGGUCAAGGAAGUUGCAACUUCUUGAGUUUCAUUUUGUUGGAGGUCUUUUCUCUAUGGAAGAUGCAAAGGACUCUAGGAAGGCUAUACAACCUAGAGAAUGGUGGGAGAUGUUUGGGGAUGGAACUCCAGAGUUGUAGCUAUUCUCGAUGUGAGCGUAAUUAGUAAUUGGAGCUCAUUUGAAAUGGUUCAUACAAAGAGAAGAAACUGCUUGCAUCAAUAGAAAAUGAAUGGCUUAGUUUAUGUAAUGUAUAACUUGAAGUUGAAAAAGAAACAAAUUAGAAAAACUAUUGCUCUUCCAUUUGAUGAGGUUCUGUAUGAUGAUGAAUGGAUAACUGAAGAGGGAUAUGACUAUGAGGUUGAGCCUCCUCAAGGUGAAGGUGAUGGUGGCAAUGUUGAAUUGGUGGGGGAUGUUGGAGGAUGUUUAGUGGUCCAACUCAAGAUGCUUUUGAUUUAGAAAAUUUAGUUUUGUUGGAACCUAAUGUUGAUGAUGCACAAUCUGAGGAAGACCUUGAUGGUGGUGGUGAUGAUGAUGACGAUGAUCUUGGACAUUUUGUCAUUAGAGGAUUGAGCAUGGACAUUUGAAGACAUUUAUGCUUUUUUAGUUAUUUAAAUGUUAUAAUUUUAAGAAUUUAUGUUUUCUAAUUGCAUGAACUUAUUACUUUGUUUGCAACUUGGUGUAGUUUUUUUUAUUAAGCAUUUAAAAGAAAGAACAAAUCUUUACAAGAGAUGGUCA
Long non-coding RNA from Glycine soja, 2261 nucleotides. RefSeq lists it as uncharacterized. Lineage: Eukaryota; Viridiplantae; Streptophyta; Magnoliopsida; Fabales; Fabaceae. The transcript is spliced from 3 exons. The record is from RefSeq and is a predicted model, not a curated record.